CCUACGGGUGGCAGCAGUGAGGAAUAUUGGUCAAUGGGCGUAAGCCUGAACCAGCCAAGUCGCGUGAGGGAUGAAGGCUCUAUGGUUCGUAAACCUCUUUUAUAAGGGAAUAAACUGCGGGACGCGUCCUGUCCUGUAUGUACCCUAUGAAUAAGGAUCGGCUAACUCCGUGCCAGCAGCCGCGGUAAUACGGAGGAUCCGAGCGUUAUCCGGAUUUAUUGGGUGUAAAGGGUGCGUAGGCGGCCUUUUAAGUCAGCUGUGAAAGCCUUGGGCUUAACCCUAGAAUUGCCGUUGAAACUAGGAGGCGAGAGUAUGUUAGAGGCAAGCGGAAUGCGUAGUGUAGCGGUGAAAUGCAUAGAUAUCAGGCAGAACCCCAGUGGCGAAGGCAGCCUGCCAGACCGAAACUGACGCUGAGGCACGAAAGCGUGGGGAUCGAACAGGAUUAGAUACCCUAGUAGUC
Molecule: ribosomal RNA, 460 nt
Filed under: uncultured bacterium
Lineage: Bacteria
Description: partial 16S ribosomal RNA
Rfam family: Bacterial small subunit ribosomal RNA
Source: RNAcentral